GCCGGGUGUGGUGGCGCAUGCCUGUCAUCCGGCUCAGGAGGCUGAGGCAGGAGGAUCAAAAGUUCAAAGCCAGCCUCAG
RNAcentral lists this small RNA (79 nucleotides) under Marmota monax (woodchuck). The record is from RNAcentral. Lineage: Eukaryota; Metazoa; Chordata; Mammalia; Rodentia; Sciuridae.